Long non-coding RNA from Manis pentadactyla (Chinese pangolin), 2408 nucleotides. RefSeq lists it as uncharacterized. The transcript has 2 exons. The record is from RefSeq and is a predicted model, not a curated record. NCBI's taxonomy places the organism in Eukaryota, Metazoa, Chordata, Mammalia, Pholidota, Manidae.
CGCCUCCGCAGUGGCGCAGGACCACAACUCCCACAAGGCCGCGCGCCCGGGGCGUGUCGGUGGGUGCGGGCCUAGGCGAAGGGGUGGGGCCGUGACACAAAGGAGGUCUUGGCGCCUAGCGGCUCGCGUCUCCACGGGGCUUCCAGGAGCUGGGGAGCUUUCCUGUUGCCGGGCUGGUGUCUGUUCCUCUGAUCCGUGGAGUCGUUCACUGUCCGGCAGUCUCGCCUCGGCCGGGCGACCCAUGGACAGCGUGUGCCAGAGUAUUGGCGGAGGAGGUGCAGGGUUGGGGACUGGUUGCGUUGAAGCUGCUGGUGGUCCUCAGCCAACUGGGGAGCCUGUCUGAGGCCCAGGAAGUUACCGAUGCUGGAAGGGGAAGCCCUGGGCCCAGAACCGCCUAGAGCUGGAAGCCAACAGUAACUCUGGGAAAAAACCCAACUGUUAAGGUGGUUUAAUUUUGGCCAAGAAGAUGAACAGGAAAGACAGCCAAAUCAUUGUUGUUGACCUGUGCUGAAACUUUACAUCUGUCCUUCGUAAUUCUUGCCUGUCAUUCGUAGCUUUUAUCCUUUUAUCCCUUCUGCGAGAAUUCGCUCGAGAAAUCCCUUUGAUAUUCCCUCUCUCAAAUUUGGUCGUUAGCCCAUUCUGUCAUCAGCGCAUGUCUUGAAAGGUUUCUUAUUUUAGUCACUUUAUUUCCAAGACCUCUGGUUCUUUUCAUAACUGCCCGCUCUCACUUUAUGAUUGAUGUGAUAUUCUUGAGUAUCCCUAUGAUUAUUUUAAUUAUAGUGAUUUUAAUAUCCUGAUCACUUUUUUAAAAAGCUUCUUCAGGUGCAAAUUGUUAAAAAAGAAAAAUAGUAUGUUAACAUUGUUCUGCUUUCCAUGGUUUGGUUUUGCUGAAAUGUUUGUUAUUGCUCGUGUUAAUGUCAUACUCAUUUUUUUGUACCUAAGAUUCUCUGUUUUUUUGCUCUCUUUGCAGCAGAAUGAAGAGGAGGGCGCUGCAGGGUUUAUUUAUUUUUUUAAAUAUGAAAAUGAGAAGAGGCAAGAUUUGUAGUCUGGUGCUACCUGGAGGCCCCCCACUCCUCCUGAAUCUGAUAAUCAUCCAUAUUUUGCUUGUUUCUCUUACCCAAGCUCCCAUACUCCACUUGCAGCUGGAAGCAGGGAUCCCAUAUCUGCUUCCUGAGAAGUUGUAUUUGCUGAGGUUUUAUUUGUCUGCUCAGGCAAACAUAACAAAAUACCACAGACUAGGUAUCUUAAACAACAGAAAUCUAUUUUCUCAGAGUGCUGAAUCCUAGAAGUCCAAGACCAAAGUGCCAGCAGGGUUGGAUCUGGUGAGGCCUCUCUUCUUGGCUCUUAGACAGCUGUCCUUUUGCUGUAUUCUCACAUGGCCUCUUGUGUGGCACUCAGGGGGAAGAUACAGGGAGAGAGCUCUGGUGUCUCCUCCACUUCUUAAAGAGACACCAGUCCUAUCAGAUUAGGGGCCCAUCCCUGGGACCUCAUUUAAUCUUCAUUACUUCUGUAGAGGCCUUAUCUCCAAAUACAGUCACAUUGGGGAUUAGGACUUAACAUAUACCUUUUGAGGGACACACUUCAGUCCAUAACAAUCAGUAUAGGAGAAAAACGAUGGAGUGAAUUCUAGAGUAGUCACACUGAUGUUGGGAGUGCAAGGUGAGCCGCUGUAAAAAAGGUACCUCUCAAGUCGAAGUAGGAUGUUAGUACUGGAGGCUAAAGGAAAGUCCCACAUCUUUGACAGAUGAUUGAGUCUUUGGCAGAGAAAACCCAGAACAUGGUCAGUUACAGUCUUUUGUAUCUGCCAGCCAUUGCUUCCAGCUAGUGGCGAUUCUGAAGUGAAUAUCUAUCACAACCUAAAUUACUGCAUGGAAUCAGGAAUUUGAAGUUGAAAAGCAGCACUCCCAAAACCCGAAAAGUACGGUGCUGUCAUGUAAAAUAAAGAGUACUGCCCCAGGAGACAGGAGAUCUGAUAUGUCUCCUUUGUUCUGCUGCUAACCAGAUGAAUUCAAUAUGAUGAUAAAUGGAGCACUGGUGCUGAACUCCAGACCUAGGGUUAAAGAGUUGAAAAAGGGAGACUCGAGGAGCUAUCCUCACCGUAAGAGAUUGAGAUGCCUGCCCACUGCUGAGCCCUCUGGUGCAACGUGGCCGAUGUAAUCUGGGCCCUUUUAAUCUAAUAGUGUUCAAUCUAACAGUGUGAUUCUUUGUUGUAUUAAGCCCCCUGGGCCUUGUGGUGGCACAGUGAGAAGAAACGGGGCAGCUGUGACGCGGGGCCCCUGUGGAGGGCACCUCACUAGUAUAAAUAGCAGCAGUUAUCAGUUUUGAAGAGCUUCCUCUACUGGCACUGUGCUUUGACCUGGGUUUAUAGUGCUGAGGCAAAAAUAGAAAUAAAAAUAGACAUGGCUGCA